RNAcentral lists this ribosomal RNA (441 nucleotides) under uncultured bacterium. RNAcentral's name for it is "partial 16S ribosomal RNA". It matches the Rfam family "Bacterial small subunit ribosomal RNA", at positions 338 to 795 of the family's 1533-position model. The record is from RNAcentral.
CCUACGGGAGGCAGCAGUGGGGAAUAUUGCACAAUGGGGGAAACCCUGAUGCAGCGACGCCGCGUGAGUGAAGAAGUAUUUCGGUAUGUAAAGCUCUAUCAGCAGGGAAGAAGAAAGACGGUACCUGACUAAGAAGCCCCGGCUAACUACGUGCCAGCAGCCGCGGUAAUACGUAGGGGGCAAGCGUUAUCCGGAUUUACUGGGUGUAAAGGGAGCGUAGACGGCUGUGCAAGUCUGAAGUGAAAGCCCAGGGCUCAACCCUGGGACUGCUUUGGAAACUGUGGAGCUAGGGUGCUGGAGAGGUAAGUGGAAUUCCUAGUGUAGCGGUGAAAUGCGUAGAUAUUAGGAGGAACACCAGUGGCGAAGGCGGCUUACUGGACAGUAACUGACGUUGAGGCUCGAAAGCGUGGGGAUCAAACAGGAUUAGAUACCCCAGUAGUC